GGAGGAGUCGGAUAGUGGUUUAUUCCAGCUGUUUUGAAAACAGCCGGCCGCAAGGCCUCGUGGGUUCGAAUACCACCUCCACCG
Molecule: transfer RNA, 84 nt
Filed under: bacterium
Lineage: Bacteria
Description: tRNA-Ser
Rfam family: tRNA
About the family: Transfer RNA (tRNA) molecules are approximately 80 nucleotides in length. Their secondary structure includes four short double-helical elements and three loops (D, anti-codon, and T loops). Further hydrogen bonds mediate the characteristic L-shaped molecular structure. tRNAs have two regions of fundamental functional importance: the anti-codon, which is responsible for specific mRNA codon recognition, and the 3' end, to which the tRNAs corresponding amino acid is attached (by aminoacyl-tRNA synthetases). tRNAs cope with the degeneracy of the genetic code in two manners: having more than one tRNA (with a specific anti-codon) for a particular amino acid; and 'wobble' base-pairing, i.e. permitting non-standard base-pairing at the 3rd anti-codon position.
Source: RNAcentral